AAACAAUGUAGAAUGCAUCUGGUGUGUUGCUUUUAUGCCAUAUGGCUUUUAGAAAUGUGAAGGGAACCUGAAAGCAAGGGGCUUAUUUUUCAGUUGUCAUGUCAUUCUUAAAAUCACCUGUUUGGGAGGAAUUCAGUUCUUCAGAAGAAAAAAAUGCUCUCCAUCUUCAUAGCAAAGUGAUAAGGAAUCAGAAAGAACAAUGCUGAAAUACAUAUGAUAAGAGGUCAUCCUGGAAAAGUGAGAAAGAGUGUGCAAAAAAUAACUACACCCAGAUGAAUGCAUAAAGCAUAGAAGAAGCACAAAGAAUAUAUUAGUAUAUGGAUUCUGCCUUUUUUAAAAGGAAAUAAAAUCUCAG
RNAcentral lists this long non-coding RNA (355 nucleotides) under Zonotrichia albicollis (white-throated sparrow). Its description in RNAcentral is "lncRNA (ENSZALG00000001203.1)". Lineage: Eukaryota; Metazoa; Chordata; Aves; Passeriformes; Passerellidae. The record is from RNAcentral.